RNAcentral lists this ribosomal RNA (533 nucleotides) under uncultured bacterium. RNAcentral's name for it is "bacterial SSU rRNA". It matches the Rfam family "Bacterial small subunit ribosomal RNA", at positions 338 to 864 of the family's 1533-position model. The record is from RNAcentral.
CCUACGGGAGGCAGCAGGGGGGAAUUUUGGACAAUGGGCGAAAGCCUGAUCCAGCAAUGCCGCGUGUGUGAAGAAGGCCUUCGGGUUGUAAAGCACUUUUGUUCGGGAAGAAAUCCCUUGGGAUAAUACCUCGGGGGGAUGACGGUACCGGAAGAAUAAGCACCGGCUAACUACGUGCCAGCAGCCGCGGUAAUACGUAGGGUGCAAGCGUUAAUCGGAAUUACUGGGCGUAAAGCGUGCGCAGGCGGUUUUGUAAGACGGAUGUGAAAUCCCCGGGCUUAACCUGGGAACUGCAUUCGUGACUGCAAGGCUAGAGUAUGGCAGAGGGGGGUAGAAUUCCACGUGUAGCAGUGAAAUGCGUAGAGAUGUGGAGGAAUACCGAUGGCGAAGGCAGCCCCCUGGGCCAAUACUGACGCUCAUGCACGAAAGCGUGGGGAGCAAACAGGAUUAGAUACCCUGGUAGUCCACGCCCUAAACGAUGUCAACUAGUUGUUGGGGAUUCAUUUCCUUAGUAACGAAGCUAACGCGUGAAG